This 426-nucleotide small RNA is filed under the name Pongo abelii (Sumatran orangutan). Its description in RNAcentral is "retained intron". Lineage: Eukaryota; Metazoa; Chordata; Mammalia; Primates; Hominidae. The record is from RNAcentral.
GCUCCUUUGGUUUUAGAUAAUAACCCCAAAAAUUCCACUGUGACUCUGCAAAUAAUGCCCUGUUUCUCUGUGCCUCUAACUUAGACAGCAUUUUAAUUUGGGAUUCUUUUUCUCCCUUAAUGGAGGUAACCAGUCGGGGAGAGGCACAUUUGGAGCUGAAUGCAUUUCGAAGGAAGCAUGAUUGUGCACUAGUCAUAUCUGGGGACUCUCUGGAGGUUUGUCUAAAGUACUACGAGCAUGAAUUUGUGGAGCUGGCCUGCCAGUGCCCCGCCGUGGUGUGCUGCCGCUGCUCGCCCACCCAGAAGGCCCGCAUUGUGACACUGCUGCAGCAGCACACAGGGAGACGCACCUGCGCCGUCGGUGAUGGAGGAAAUGAUGUCAGCAUGAUUCAGGCAGCAGACUGUGGGAUUGGGAUUGAGGGAAAGG